GUAGGGGGCAAGCGUUAUCCGGAUUUACUGGGUGUAAAGGGAGCGUAGACGGUGAGACAAGUCUGAAGUGAAAGCCCGGGGCCCAACCCCGGGACUGCUCUGGAAACUGCCAUGCUAGAGUGCUGGAGAGGUAAGUGGAAUUCCUAGUGUAGCGGUGAAAUGCGUAGAUAUUAGGAGGAACACCAGUGGCGAAGGCGGCUUACUGGACAGUGACUGACGUUGAGGCUCGAAAGCGUGGGGAGCAAA
Molecule: ribosomal RNA, 246 nt
Filed under: uncultured bacterium
Lineage: Bacteria
Description: partial 16S ribosomal RNA
Rfam family: Bacterial small subunit ribosomal RNA
Source: RNAcentral